This is a long non-coding RNA of Gorilla gorilla gorilla (western lowland gorilla), 317 nucleotides long. RefSeq lists it as uncharacterized. The transcript has 2 exons. The record is from RefSeq and is a predicted model, not a curated record. Lineage: Eukaryota; Metazoa; Chordata; Mammalia; Primates; Hominidae.
UAGAGCCACACCAGAGAGUCUAUCAGCAGCUCCUGCACUGCAUCUCCCUCUGCUGAGCAGAAGGAUGGGAGAUGGGAGAAAGGUGGUCCAGAACCUUUACACCAAGAGGUGCUUGUCUUCUUGAUCCUGUCCUCCCACAGUCCCACACCCUCUUGAGAGAGCCCAGAUGUUGUUCACCGAUGCCCUGGAAUACAAGACAGAGGGUUGUUGGAUCAGCUGAGGGAUCAAAAGGAUGUGGAGGGACCCACAGAGCCAAUACCCACUGACAUGCACUGCUCAUUAAUUCCUCUAAAUAAAGUGCCCAGCACUACAUCACA